RNAcentral lists this ribosomal RNA (619 nucleotides) under Drosophila immigrans. RNAcentral's name for it is "partial 16S ribosomal RNA". It matches the Rfam family "Bacterial large subunit ribosomal RNA", at positions 1895 to 2760 of the family's 2925-position model. The record is from RNAcentral. Lineage: Eukaryota; Metazoa; Arthropoda; Insecta; Diptera; Drosophilidae.
UUAAAGUCUAACCUGCCCACUGAAAUUUUUAAAUGGCCGCAGUAUUCUAACUGUGCAAAGGUAGCAUAAUCAUUAGUCUUUUAAUUGAAGGCUGGAAUGAAUGGUUGGACGAGAUAUUAACUGUUUCAUUUUAAUUUUUAUUAGAAUUUUAUUUUUUAGUCAAAAAGCUAAAAUAAAAUUAAAAGACGAGAAGACCCUAUAAAUCUUUAUAUUUAAUUUAUUUUUAUUAUAAAGAUUAAUUUUGUUUAAAUAAAUUUAAAUAUUUUAUUGGGGUGAUAUUAAAAUUUAAAAAACUUUUAAUUUUUUAAACCAUUAAUUUAUGAAUAAUUGAUCCAAUAAUAUUGAUUAAAAAUUUAAGUUACUUUAGGGAUAACAGCGUAAUUUUUUUGGAGAGUUCAUAUCGAUAAAAAAGAUUGCGACCUCGAUGUUGGAUUAAGAUAUAAUUUUGGGUGUAGCCGUUCAAAUUUUAAGUCUGUUCGACUUUUAAAUUCUUACAUGAUCUGAGUUCAAACCGGCGUAAGCCAGGUUGGUUUCUAUCUUUAAUAAAUUAUAAUAUUUUAGUACGAAAGGACCAAAUAUUAAAAUAAUUAUAUUUUAAAAAAGAAUAUUAUUAAUUUAA